Molecule: long non-coding RNA, 2996 nt
Organism: Oreochromis niloticus (Nile tilapia)
Lineage: Eukaryota; Metazoa; Chordata; Actinopteri; Cichliformes; Cichlidae
Source: Ensembl
AAGUCACGGUCAUAGCUGUGAGAUGCAUGGCUUCUUAAAGCAGUUAAAGUUAUUAAUUUAGAAAGUCAAGUUUACUGCACUCACAGUUUUUUAUGAUUUUAAUGGAUAAAAACUCAAGUCCUAAAUAUAUACUUUGGAUGUAUGAAAUACAGUGCAUCAUGAAUAAACACAAUACGUUCAUGACUGAAAUUUUUAUUUCACUUUUCCUUUGUAAAGUCUGAAUCUAGCAACACAGGUAAAUCUGAUGACGUGACGACUUCAGCGACAUUUAAAGUAUUAGCGAUCUACUUUAUUUGGUGACCAAUGCGCUUCAGCUUGUGGUCUUCAUCAGGGUCAUAAAGUCGGAAUCUAGACAGAUUUUUUUGGCCUUCUCUGAUUGGAUUAAACCUGCCAGGCCCUGGAGUAACAGUUUAUGUUUGAGCGAAGAACAAAAUGAACAUGUAUAUGUAAAAGAAGUGAGCAGCUGAGCAGAAAGCCCUCUGCUGUCAUGCAUCACAUCAUAUCCUCUGCAGAAGACAGGUAAGUGCUCUCUGCUGGAGCAAUCACAUCUAGUGGGCACACCUGUGUGAGGCUGCCUCUGUGUGUGUGUGUGUGUGUGUGUGUCCCUCACACUUGUAUGGGGGAGGGGGGUUGACCUGUUGGGUACCUCAGUUCAACUUCUCAUUAAAGAAACCUGAUUGGAAACACCUGCAGUAGGAAGGACCUAUAAAGACAACAGCAUGUCCUGAACUCUUGACUCAGAAGCACACUGGUGUUUGGUUGGAGUAGCUGGUGUGUGGGGACUUGUGGAUGUGUGAGUGCUUUGCAUGCACAGUCCAGCUGGAGGGUUUGUGAGGACACAGCAAGUGCAGCUGCAGCAGUCAUGGCUGCGUGGUUCCUAAUUGCAAGGUUUUUACUGCUUUAUGUUUUGAGUGAUGUAGACUACUCCUCAGCUUUUCCAAGAGCCACAAGUCCUGUGCAGCCUAGAGUAUGGCAGGGUGGAAGAGGGGAACACGAUGUGUAUGGAAACCCUCGUCCUUUCCAGUACAUGAGGGCUCUGAGGCCGACGGAUCCAAAGAUCUACCCUAAUGUGCGUGAUCGGGUCCAAGUCGAAUCCCCGAGAUCGUAUCAGCCACGCUCUAAUAUUCCCACCCACAGAUCCAUGGAAACAUCUCCGCUCCAGCCUCGAGCACACAGAAACCACCUUGUGGCCAAGCCCAGGAGCUUUGACUUAGCCCUGAGGAUCCCUUUUGCUCAUUCUCGUGAUGGUGCUAAUCCUCCUCGGUACGGACCGAGUGGCCUUAUUAUUGACAACAGUUUUAAUAAUCCCCGCAGACAGCAUGGCCAUGAUGCUUCCAAGCUGGGCUACCAGUUCAGCUUAUCUGUUCCCUUUUCACGUGGUUCUCCACGCCACCCAGGUGGCCACAAACAUCACGGUGGACAUCAACACAGGCCUGAGGAAGACUAUUUGGGUCAUCAAAGAGGGCCGGUUCAUGUGCCAGUUCGUCCAAGGCCAUACCCCGACGAGCAUCAUCGUGAGCAUGAUCGCGAGCAUCGUGAUGAAGGCCGCCCUGGGCGGGAGUUUGCAUUUCCAGAGCCAGAUGGACCAGAACACCCAUCAUGGCUGCGCCAUCCUCAAAGAUAUGUCGACCCUUACAGUGGAUACUACAACUCCCAGAUGAAGCCUACGUGGAAUGACUACUGGUGGCAUUACCGUGGACCUCACUGGGGUCAUGUAAAGCAUCCAUCUUCUGACCCUUGGCCAAAUUUCCAUCGGUCAGCUUCAGACUGACAUGGAUGGAAGAGACAAGCCAAACUCGCAGGGCACAGCUUUACAGUGCAACAAGGAUGAUCUCCUGUAUUUAUCUGAAAUAAAGUGUGAAAGCUCUCCUGCAGUUUCUCUUGUCUUCUGUCAGGUUGAAAGAAUAGCUGAACACUUGGCUUGAGGUUAAUCUUUCAAGAGCUAAUCAAGAUUCAUGUGCUUGUAAGCAAGAAGCAACAAGUCUAUGCCCAAAUGUUAGAAAGCCACUGACUCUGCAGCUCAUUAAAUUUAUGGGUGAUGUGCAUUUUAAACUGCCUCUAGAGCUGUAACUGAGGCCAUUUUACAAUUAUUGCAGGCUUGACACUGAAUCAAGUGUCCCGUCUUUCAGAAGCUGCUUUUGUACAAAUUUACAGCCACUCCAUUUUAGGUAGAAACUCCAAUCUGCCAUUGAAUGACACUUCAGUUGAAUUUCUGCUCUGAGGAGUCUCAAUCUGGGAUCGCUGCCUGCCAAGACAAGUUUACCUUCAGCGCACCCAAACUGUCGGUUUUGGCAGUGUAUCGGCUGGUUUCUCACUUACAGCUUGAAACCUGUUCUCCAAGAUGGUUCUUGGCUGCAGAGGAUGACUCUAAAGUUUUCUCCCUGGUGAAUGAUGACAAGCAGGUUUUGGGAAGAUGAUUCUAAGGGGUAAAUAAGACCUGUCCCUUCCUGAGCCUUUAUCAAAUGCAGUGGAGCACUGAGGUGUUUCAUUUGGCAGUUGCUGAAAGAAGACUUUCUGCUUCACCCAGUAUUCUGAUUGGCUGGCCUUGGCUAAAUCCCUUUUAGGAAAAUAUGCAAUCCUCAGAUGAUUACAGUAUUCACCAAUAUGUUGCCUCUAGACGAGCCCCUAAAAUUGAGGCUGUUCAGUUGGAGUCUGCCUGAUGUGAAAUCAAACGCUGCAGGCUCUCAAGCUUUUAACACCUGCCACACCACUACUAGCAUAUCAUUCAAGAACCUUGCAUUUUCCUCCAAAUCAGACUCGAAAACCGAAGUGCAUUGGAUCUAAAACAAAACUGUAAGUGGUAGUCUGGUCGGGUACCAGUUUCAGCCCUGUUAGAGACAAUGGGCAAAAUCCUGAUUGGCCUAGAACUGGCAAGAUCUUGAGGAUCACAUUUGUGUAUGGGUGAAACAAUCCAUUUACUAGAAGUCAUCCCUUGGAGAUGGACAAAUUUGACGAUUUACCACCACUGCUUACCAUGAGAAAUGCCACAUUGUCAG